CGCGGGGCGCCAAGUGUCGUGAUUAGCGCUUACAAUAAACUAAAAUAAUGUGCCGGGAGCAUUAAUGCCAAAAUGUAUGCACGGGAAAAAAAUUGAUAGUCGGCCCGCCGCAUUUGUGGGACGCCACCCAGCACCUGGGCUUGUGCAACUCUGAAAUCACAGACUCACAGAAUCAGUGAGGUUGGAAAAGAGCUCUGAGACCAUCGAGUCCAACCUGUGGCCGAACACCUCCUUGUCAACCAGACCUCGGCACCAAGUGCCACAUCCAGCCUUUCCUUAAACACCUCGGGGAAGGUGACUCCACCGCCUCCCUGGGCAGCCAUUCCAGUGUCUCUUCGCCCUUUCUGUGAAGGAAUUCCUCCUAAAGUCCAACCUACACCUGUGCUGGCACAACUUUAGACCACCAUGUCCUCUUGUCCUGUCACUUGUCACCAUGGAGAAGAGGCCGAUCCUCGCCUGGCUACAAGCUCUUUUCAGGGAGCUCUAGAGAGAAUAAGCAAUGUCUCUUUCAGGUGUUUAAUUACUGGCUUGUCCCACGCCGGGUAACAAAUCCAAUUUUUCUGGACUAUCCGUGAGGCUCUGGGUGCCUUCCCACACUUUCGCUUCCCCUCCAGCUACAGACCCUUGGGGACAGGACAUGCGGAGGGGACCACUUCUGUCCCAGGGGCACUGGAGAUAUAACAGGUCCUUUGGUUUUGCAGUGCAAGCAUCCAAGGGAAAGGCACAGAUGGGUGUGGGGCCAGGAGAAGUGUGAAUUCAGCAGCUCUAGGAGCCCAGCAGGUGAGGACUCAUCUGCCUGGGCUGGUGCUUACGCAGCUGCAGUGGAAUUAUGUGGAAUGCAGUUUUGCAGUGCAUGGUGUCAAAAAAAAAAGGUUCAGAUUGUCAUGAGCUCUCGCUUUCGACAUAGGAACUAAAUGGUUUAAAUUUGUCAAAAUAGAAAGACCGCUUUCUGAAAGACUUUGCACUUUUUUUUUUUUUUUUUUUUUUUUUUUUAAAACCAAAAUUGGGAGUUGCUGGAUAUUCAGGUGCUGGAAUAACAUAGCUUAAUUGAUGGUCCAUAUGCUCCUGAUGCCAAAAAGCACAAUUCUAGGAUUAUGCUUUGGCAGAGCGAGUGUUUCAGUUCAGAACCUUGAAAAGUUUUCUGAACUGCUUAACAAGAUGUGGGUAAAACUAGGCUGCUCUAACACUCACAUACACACACUUUUCCCCUAAUGCCUGAUGUGGAAUGUUUGAGCUAUAUAGAAGGUUAGGUGAGCUAUUCGCUAGGGCCUUCAGCUUCUUUCUAUCCACCUCUGCCCCCAGUACUUCCUUUUACCAUAUCUUCCUUCAGAUACUAGAACUGUUACAAUCUGGACAUCAAUUAUAUGGUCCAUGUCCCUCUGCUUAGCAUGUAUUUGGGGUAUGUGCUAGUGUUAUGGUUAUUCAUCUUCAUCCUUUAUAAGACAAUGAAGGGGGAAACCCCAAGUAUUUUUAGGGUGUGACUUAUCUAACCUGUAUCAAAUUCAGAAUCACACCUCCUGUGCCUGGGAAAUGCUCUGAUCCCUUACUGAGUGCAAGGAGUCUAGACACCUCAUUUGGAUGACACUUGCUUUGCAGAUGUGUAAUCAGCCUGAGGAAACUCUGUCCUUUGGGGAGCUGUGUUCUCACUGCAAGAUGUUCCAAGUCUUUCUCUUUCCAUGGUAUGGAACAGAUUUAUUUUAAGAGGCCUUAGAUCAGGACAUAAAAGAGUCUGAGUGAAAAUGACAAUAUAAAAAAUAAAAACCUAAGGCACUGGUGUCAUGAGAAAAGUUCCUUGCCCCACAUGGUGUGGGAAAGGAGGAUAGAACAGCAAUUAGACAUAAUUCUAGGUCAUUAAAUUGGGAUGGCACCCAUGCACAGAACUGUGGAAACCACUAAGAGAGAUUAAAAAAACAAGUCACUUAUGCAACAUGACAAAAGACAUUUAAUUAAGCACAGUUUCAGAGGGAUUUUAAGCAGUUUCUUGUGAAGUUGAGGAUUUUUGUUUGCUUUUUUUAAUGUUGAACUUCUCUGCUAACAAGCCUGACAAGAAAGCAUCACACAUCUUUGAAGAAAAGUGGAAAGAACAAAUCUCGCUCUGGACAAGCCAGGAAGGAACUGGGACACCCCAGGACUCUGCACACAGCUUCCCAUGCAGAGGAAACCAAGGCCUGUAUCCACAAAGCAUGACCUCAGGUCCUGGCAUCUUCUCUGCAGCCUCCAGCACACAGACUGCCUCACUCAGCAUUGCCCAGUUCAUUUGACUUAAUUAAAUGCUUGAUUGCAGACUUUGAUUAUCCACCUGCCCAACUUACAAGACAGGCAGAGAUGGAUUUUCUGCUUCCACAUACCCCUCUGAAUUAAGUAAAUGGGAAUCAGUGGAUAGGACAGGGUUAGACUGAGGAGCACAACAGCUGGUGCUGCCCUGAGUGUGAGAGCCUUGCAAACCGGAGGAAAAGGGGUGAUCUUCCCCCUAUUUGACUGUAGAAAUAGAAGUUCUGGGGGUGCAGGCCUUCUGCAUGACUUCUUUGAAGAAUCGGGCCCAAACAACAAAGUUGGCUGACUCUUAGGCCUACAGGUUAGCUUAUCUGGUACACUGUUAUUUCCUUUUAGAGUUUGGGGUUUUGUUUCAGUCUUGGGCUCCUAAAGCACGUUCAGAAGUGGGAAUGCAAGCUGCUUGUGAAUUCAGUCAAAGCAUAGUCAGUCCUUGCAAUUGCAAUUUUGUGUGAGAAAUUGUGUUACCUGUCCAUGUAGGUUAGGUAGCAUAUUUAUUUGUGGCUUGGAUGAGGCAGGAUGGGAUGACCAAUACUAGUGUAUGCUGUUCAUACCUGAGGACAGAAAUUGUUUUAUAUUUUCUUGUACUAAAGCUGCAUGUAGGGAAAGGACUGUCAUUUUGUGCUGUGCCUUUAUAGCAUCUGACCUACAGGAUCCUGGCCCAUGGCCAAAGCCUGUAGGCACCCAACUACCAAUAUGUAACAAUAAUAUAUGGCACUGGCAUAAGCUCAACAUAGUUAAUGGAGAUCCAAGCUUAGUGGCCAGAUUUUAAACAUUACAGGCAAAUAAGCCUGGGGGGUGUCAGUUUGAGUUAGACACAACACCCCACUCUCCCUCCAUACCAGGAAUGAGCUCUUAGGGAGACAAACACUUAAAAAUCCCAACUUUUAUGGAGACUUUGUUCAUUCCACAAAGAAAUCCAGAGAGUACUUGAUAAAAGUACUGACUUCAGUCUCAUAGGUUUUUCAAGAGAAUUACUGAAAAGGGUCUUCCAGCGCUACAGGGAAAGAAUUCAUUUUUCCAAAAGUCAUUAGCAUCCAGCAGCUACUAUAAAUUUGACUGAGAGCUACUGAAUAUUAUAAGUUUUGAAAAUCCGGUUACUGUAUAUCCAAAAUGUGAAGGCUUGGUCUUUAAAAAUUAUGGCCAAAGAAUAUGUGUGUGUGUGUCUAUAUAUAAGUAUAUAUUUUUAAAUGCAUUUUGAGUUACCCAGAGAUAAACAGAAUCAAAAAUUGCUGAUACAUAAAUAUUACUGUAAUGUAAAUAUAUUCACCACUUAACCCUGAUAAAUACUGGAUUACAGACUUCUGAACAGAGACUGACAAUCAUUGGAAACCAUGUGGUCAUCUCAAGUAUACAGUGCCUUGAUUAAAAGAAAACCACAAAAUCCUUUUCCUUUUUUAAAAGUACCAUAUAAUUUAUUUGGUUGGACUCUACAAAUAUACACAUUAUAUCACGCUAGAAGAACUUGAAAACCACUUUUUUCUUGUUCCCAGGGUCUCUUGACUGUUGGUAAGACGUUACAGUCAUAAUGAUAGAAUCAGCUUACAGUUGCAUAUUCUGCCAAAUAGCUCACAAAUUAUAUUUGGCAAACAACAGUGCCUCUGUUUCACAAAGAUAACGAUCAGAUGUUUUGUUUAUGUGGAAAGGAAAAUAUUAUUUUAGAGCUUGUGACAGAAUUUCAAAAACUUUGUGUGGUGCUCUCAACAUCUGAUACAUUUAAAAGUUACCACUCUAUUAAAUACAGAGUAACACAGAUUUUUCAACGGAUCCUUCAAAAA
Taeniopygia guttata (zebra finch) is the source of this 4049-nucleotide non-coding RNA. NCBI's taxonomy places the organism in Eukaryota, Metazoa, Chordata, Aves, Passeriformes, Estrildidae. The record is from RefSeq and is a predicted model, not a curated record.